RNAcentral lists this ribosomal RNA (484 nucleotides) under uncultured bacterium. Its description in RNAcentral is "partial 16S ribosomal RNA". It matches the Rfam family "Bacterial small subunit ribosomal RNA", at positions 30 to 507 of the family's 1533-position model. The record is from RNAcentral.
AUUGAACGCUGGCGGCAGGCCUAACACAUGCAAGUCGAGCGGAUGAAGGGAGCUUGCUCCUGGAUUCAGCGGCGGACGGGUGAGUAAUGCCUAGGAAUCUGCCUGGUAGUGGGGGAUAACGUCCGGAAACGGGCGCUAAUACCGCAUACGUCCUGAGGGAGAAAGUGGGGGAUCUUCGGACCUCACGCUAUCAGAUGAGCCUAGGUCGGAUUAGCUAGUUGGUGGGGUAAAGGCCUACCAAGGCGACGAUCCGUAACUGGUCUGAGAGGAUGAUCAGUCACACUGGAACUGAGACACGGUCCAGACUCCUACGGGAGGCAGCAGUGGGGAAUAUUGGACAAUGGGCGAAAGCCUGAUCCAGCCAUGCCGCGUGUGUGAAGAAGGUCUUCGGAUUGUAGAGCACUUUAAGUUGGGAGGAAGGACAGUAAGUUAAUACCUUGCUGUUUUGACGUUACCAACAGAAUAAGCACCGGCUAACUUCGUG